UACGAAGGGGGCUAGCGUUGUUCGGAAUUACUGGGCGUAAAGCGCGCGCAGGCGGUCUUCCAAGUCAGUGGUGAAAGCCCGGAGCUCAACUCCGGAACUGCCACUGAAACUGUAAGACUUGAGGAUGAGAGAGGUGAGUGGAAUUCCCAGUGUAGAGGUGAAAUUCGUAGAUAUUGGGAAGAACACCGGUGGCGAAGGCGGCUCACUGGCUCAUAUCUGACGCUCAGGCGCGACAGCGUGGGGAUCAAACAGG
Molecule: ribosomal RNA, 253 nt
Filed under: uncultured bacterium
Lineage: Bacteria
Description: partial 16S ribosomal RNA
Rfam family: Bacterial small subunit ribosomal RNA
Source: RNAcentral